Long non-coding RNA from Chinchilla lanigera (long-tailed chinchilla), 274 nucleotides. RefSeq lists it as uncharacterized. Lineage: Eukaryota; Metazoa; Chordata; Mammalia; Rodentia; Chinchillidae. The transcript has 3 exons. The record is from RefSeq and is a predicted model, not a curated record.
GCUAAGUUACCCAGGCUAGCUGCGAACUCACGAUCCUCCUGCCCCAGCCUCCUGAGCAGCUGGGACUACAGGCCAGGACACCAGCUCCUCAGCUCCGUCGCCUGGACAGUCACACUCCAUCGCCAAGCAUCCGCGGUCUACACGGCCCAUGGUGAUCUCACAGGGAUGGCGUUCAUCACACUGGAAUCCAUGAGCCAGGUGCUCUUCAGCCUCCUGAGGACUAAAGGAAGAAGAGACAACAGGGACCUUUGGUGACAGAGAACCAGGGAGACUU